GCCCUCAGGAGGUAGAUCUUACUAAGCUCAUCUCACAAACAAGAGCACUAAAGCUCCUGGGGGCUUUGUGACUUGGGGGGAGGGGCGUGGAUCACAAAGCUGGGGCUUGGUUCUAACUCAGAUGUGUCUGGCUGCAAAGCCCCAAAUUGGGUGUUCCUGAUGUGGUGCAAUGGCAUCAGCAGCAUCUUGGGAGCAGUGGAAUGCAAGUUCUAUCCCCAGAUGCUCCCCUAUAAUACAGUUGGCACCGACAGCACAGAGGAAAAGAGAGAAGGAGGUGAGAAAAUCCUCCAGACACUGCUUCCUAACAACCCACUGGGAUGCAUACAGCUGGUCUACCUGCAUUCUUUCUCCUUUGGAGGCUCUGCAAUCCCCCAUCUAAGACUUCUCCCUGUAACGACUGCUAAGGAUUUAUGAUUCAAGAGCACGGCCAGGAACAGCACUGCAAACAGCCCAGAGGUCACAUCAUUUCAUGGCCUCUAAGACAGGGGGCGGGGACUUUCUCUUCACACCAAAGAUUCCCAGGACUUUGCUGUGUGUAGAAACCAUUACUGUCACCAAAGCAGGCCUCCCUCCCGCCUCUCUACACGCACACAGCACAGACUACGGCUACUGCUUUACAACUGCUCUGCACCAGCUGCUUGGCCCUAAAUGAGAUCCUUGGUAGAACCGGUGCUGUGAAAGAGUUUGCUUUCAGCUUAAAGCAACAGUUCUUCCUCUUUCUGCAUCUCUCCCCAUUUUCCUUCCUCCGGUUCACGUGAGGUUAAAAAACAUUCUAAAUAAGUCUUCCCACAAUUUCCCCGCCAGCCUCUUGUCUUAUCUUUUCAUUUGUAACAGAACCUCGGAUGGGCACAGAUGAAGUCACCCCUCCUCCUGUCCCCACCCACAUAACACUAGCGCUCAGCUCCUGGGAGUCCCUCAGACCAGCUGGGACACCAUGUCCCCACCACAAUCAGCCUCCCAGGGCCAGUGGCCUGGGAGUUUACCUUCAUCAAGAACACCAGGGGCUCCCAUUGUGGCUCAGCAG
Molecule: long non-coding RNA, 1024 nt
Filed under: Sus scrofa (pig)
Lineage: Eukaryota; Metazoa; Chordata; Mammalia; Artiodactyla; Suidae
Description: lncRNA (ENSSSCG00065034975.1)
Source: RNAcentral